Molecule: transfer RNA, 73 nt
Filed under: Dipodomys ordii (Ord's kangaroo rat)
Lineage: Eukaryota; Metazoa; Chordata; Mammalia; Rodentia; Heteromyidae
Rfam family: tRNA
About the family: Transfer RNA (tRNA) molecules are approximately 80 nucleotides in length. Their secondary structure includes four short double-helical elements and three loops (D, anti-codon, and T loops).
Source: Rfam by way of RNAcentral
GGACACAUGGCUCAAAUGGUAAAGUAUCUGCCUAGAAAGCAUAAAACCCUGAGUUCAAUUCCCAGUACUGCCC